AUGGUCUUAUGGGUUUGGAACGACUUGAGGACAGGAAGAGCUGUCGAGAAAGCCAUCGGCUGGAACUGCAGUGGAUCUUUUACAGCAGUGAAACAAGACGUUGGGAGGCCAAUUUUAAGUUCACAAAAACAACUAGGGUGCACUGUGUCAGUGAAGACAACGUGGCAAAAAGAAACAGGGGGUGGGGGAAAACCCCCCAAAAGCACACUCUCUUUUUCUUUUUCAAACACGGCCAAGUGUCUCAGCUCCCCUCACUGCAGGAUUGGUAAACACUGCUUGGACAAUCAUCACCAGACAUUUGACACUGAUCAAACUUUGCGUCUGUGAUUGCAAUGAUGUCAGGUACUUUUCGGCAUGUUCAGCAGGUGUAAACAGAAAGAGGAAGCAACACCCUCCCAUCCCUGUUUGGAAAACAAAUUGCCUUCUUUCCAGGGAUUCUAGCAGAGUUUUGGAGCACUGAGCAUUGAUCAGAGCGCAUAAAGAUGUGUAAUGAGUUCCAUGCUUGUGAAAUCAUAAACAGGAUGGAGGCAGCCUGAAGCAGGAACGCUCUCAGCCACUGAACACCGUCUUUUAAAGCUCCGCCAUUCCCCAGAUGGACUGCAUGCACGCCACACUAACUCUCUGCUUCGCUAGCCAGAGGUGUUUGUUGUUCAGUCUCUCUACAUCCCCAUCCUUCCACUCUCCACACGCACACACCAUUCUCUUUUAACAUGUUGGAGCCAGAUAAGCAUGUUAGAUCUUCAUCUCUGGCCUCAACCGAGCAUUGUAAAAUUUAAAUAAUAAUAAAUAAAUAACAUUUCUGAGAAGGUUGAGGCAUCAUGAGAGGUUCUCAGCUGAAGUCUUUCUUCAUAAUUGUCCUUGGCAUUUAGCCAUUCUGAACAUUCUCAUUUGCUAAAUACAAUGUUACAGCAUAAAUGGCAAUACAUUCAAUUUUGAUAGAAUUAUGGUUGAUAUAUCAAAGUAUGGUGUAGCCAUGGCUUUUCAUUUAAUUUCAGAGGGAAAAAUGACCUUAUUUUAAUUUUAGAUAAAAUUUGUUUGCAGCAUCUUUGGUAAGUUAAACAAUUGUUUUUGUUUACUGAUUUAUUCUAACAUAGAAAUUGGUGAAAACUAAUUAGUGAAAAAGUGUUGCUAUGUGACAACACUGUACUACAAUGGAAAACUGUGUAUCACUGGGGGAAGUCAUGGCCUAACGGUUAGAGUGUUGGACUUGCAAUCCAAGGGUUGCAAGUUCGAGUCUCGGGCUAGCAGGAAUUGUAGGUGGGGGGAGUGAAUGUACAGCGCUCUCUCCUCCUUCAAUACCACGACUGAGGUGUCCUUGAGCAAGGCACUGAACCCCCAACUGCUCCCCAGGCGCCGCAGCAUAAAUGGCUGCCCACUGCUCCGGGUGCGUGUUCACAGUAUGUGUGUGUUCACUGCUGUGUGUGUGCACUUUGGAUGGGUUAAAAGCAGAGCAUGAAUUCCGAGUAUGGGUCACCAUACUUGGCUGUAUGUCAUGACACUUUCACUUUCACUGUCACUUUACAAUGAAAUUGCACAAAUUUUUAUUUACUAUAUUUUUUUAAAUUAUUGAAAUUGUUUGUUAGAUUUUUAUUAGUGUUUUAUUAGGGGAAUAAUAUAUAUAUAUAUAUAUAUUU
Long non-coding RNA from Cyprinus carpio carpio, 1634 nucleotides. NCBI's taxonomy places the organism in Eukaryota, Metazoa, Chordata, Actinopteri, Cypriniformes, Cyprinidae. The record is from Ensembl.